Molecule: transfer RNA, 85 nt
Filed under: compost metagenome
Description: tRNA-Leu
Rfam family: tRNA
About the family: Transfer RNA (tRNA) molecules are approximately 80 nucleotides in length. Their secondary structure includes four short double-helical elements and three loops (D, anti-codon, and T loops). Further hydrogen bonds mediate the characteristic L-shaped molecular structure. tRNAs have two regions of fundamental functional importance: the anti-codon, which is responsible for specific mRNA codon recognition, and the 3' end, to which the tRNAs corresponding amino acid is attached (by aminoacyl-tRNA synthetases). tRNAs cope with the degeneracy of the genetic code in two manners: having more than one tRNA (with a specific anti-codon) for a particular amino acid; and 'wobble' base-pairing, i.e. permitting non-standard base-pairing at the 3rd anti-codon position.
Source: RNAcentral
GCCCGGGUGGUGAAAUUGGUAGACGCAGGGGACUCAAAAUCCCCCGCCGCAAGGCGUGCCGGUUCGAUUCCGGCCUCCGGCACCA